RNAcentral lists this ribosomal RNA (497 nucleotides) under uncultured bacterium. Its description in RNAcentral is "partial 16S ribosomal RNA". It matches the Rfam family "Bacterial small subunit ribosomal RNA", at positions 28 to 507 of the family's 1533-position model. The record is from RNAcentral.
GAUGAACGCUGGCGGCGUGCCUAAUACAUGCAAGUCGAGCGAACAGACGAGGAGCUUGCUCCUCUGACGUUAGCGGCGGACGAGUGAGUAACACGUGGAUAACCUACCUAUAAGACUGGGAUAACUUCGGGAAACCGGAGCUAAUACCGGAUAAUAUAUUGAACCGCAUGGUUCAAUAGUGAAAGACGGUUUUGCUGUCACUUAUAGAUGGAUCCGCGCCGCAUUAGCUAGUUGGUAAGGUAACGGCUUACCAAGGCAACGAUGCGUAGCCGACCUGAGAGGGUGAUCGGCCACCCUGGAACUGAGACACGGUCCAGACUCCUACGGGAGGCAGCAGUAGGGAAUCUUCCGCAAUGGGCGAAAGCCUGACGGAGCAACGCCGCGUGAGUGAUGAAGGUCUUCGGAUCGUAAAACUCUGUUAUUAGGGAAGAACAAAUGUGUAAGUAACUAUGCACGUCUUGACGGUACCUAAUCAGAAAGCCACGGCUAACUACGUG